Molecule: non-coding RNA, 970 nt
Organism: Procambarus clarkii (red swamp crayfish)
Lineage: Eukaryota; Metazoa; Arthropoda; Malacostraca; Decapoda; Cambaridae
Source: RefSeq, a predicted model, not a curated record
CUCCUCACACCCUCGGGUAUAUAUAUCCGGGACUCACCUGCGCACCUCACAAGCACACAACAGUCCUGGGCAGCGGCUGGCGUCUUAACAACCAGCAUGAAGAUUAUACUGGUGUUGAUGUGCGUGUGUGUGGCGGCGGGGUUGACUCUAGCCCUGCCAAGCCCUCUGGCGGCGGCUCAGUUUGGUUUUGGUGGAUAUCGCAGACAUUACAGUCCCUUCGGUGCUCCCUUUACCACCCACGUCCACCACGGCGACCACACCCACUACACCACCUACUACCCGUCCGGGGGCCACACACACUUCACCGACUACCAUGGCUUCGGCAACGAACACCAUUAACGUUAAGGGUGCCUUAAGAAAAGAAGUUGGGGAAGCCACCUUCAUUUACACCUUUAAUGGACAUGUGCUUUAGUGCGCAGGUGGCCCCAUGCUGCAGUGCGCAGGUGGCCCCAUGCUGUAGUGCGCAGGUGGCCCCAUGCUGCAGUGCGCAGGUGGCCCCAUGCUGCAGUGCGCAGGUGGCCCCAUGCAGCAGUGCGCAGGUGGCCCCAUGCACCAGUGCGCAGGUGGCCCCAUGCACCAGUGCGCAGGUGGCCCGGUGAAUAAGGACUGCAAGAUGACGCGCAGCUAGGAAAGGGAGCAGGAAAGACGGCCUGCGCAGGUCUCCUCGCGCAGGUCCGGGCAUCAAACACCAUGAUUAUACACCACAUACAAAGAUUAACGGACAUGUGUAUUUUCUUAUAUCAAUUUUGUGUCACUAAAUUAUUCGCGCAUUUUAACGACGUAAAUUGCUGACUAAAAUAUAUACCCGGUGACUGAACUCAAAAGCACGCAGCGAAUAUGAGCUCGCACGAGGCAGAAACAAAUGGGCAAAGUUUCUUUCACCCUGAAUGUCCCUGUUACCUAGCAGUAAAUAGGUACCUGGGAGUUAGUCAACUGUCACGGGCUGCUUCCUGGGGGUGGAGGCCUGGUC